AAAAUAUCAUGUGGUAUGGUUCCAUUGGGUCCAUCAGCUACUGAUCACUACCAAGAGAGCUCUGUCAACACUCAGUGUCCCACAUGUAGGAUAAAGGAAGCCAGGCCCCCAAUUAGCUGUGUUGGGAAAAAAAGUUACCAGCGGCUAAUGGCAUGGCAAGGGGACAGAGGUGGGACUUUUAAGAUUCCUGGACAAGAAACAAGAAACACAGGAAAAGGGACAAGAUGAGUCAGCCAUGAAAAGGGCAAAGGAUGGAGCAUGCCAGGAAGAAGGAAGAUACUUCUCCAGCACAAUGUCUGACUGUGAGCUGCCAUGGUCCCUACUGUGAUAACAGUGGAAUAAACCUCUGAAACUAUAAGCAAGCCC
Molecule: long non-coding RNA, 366 nt
Organism: Mastomys coucha (southern multimammate mouse)
Lineage: Eukaryota; Metazoa; Chordata; Mammalia; Rodentia; Muridae
Exons: 3
Source: RefSeq, a predicted model, not a curated record